AAAACAAAAUGCCCCUUUUGCCUGCUGCUUUUGAUCAACCAUAUUUUAGAAUUGAACUCUCCGAUACACAGUUGUGCAAUACAUAUACUUUAAACUGUUUUUAAUGUGGGUUGUGCUGUGCUCCAAUACAUUUUAAAAAUAAAUCAGAAGUUUUCUUUCUUUCAGUGUGUUCAGAUAUUUCAUCCCUCCUACUGAUAUAUUUUGACUUUUCAUUAACACAUUGAGUUGAUUUGUUAGAUGCGUCAUGUUUAAAUGUUCCCUCAUUCACUUUUAUUGUUUUUUUAUCUUUCUUUUCUCUAAGCUUUUCUCUCCUCUCACCGAUGGUAUGGCUCUAAUUUUAAUACAUACAGUAAAUCAUGAAAAUGUUUCCUUUUGUUAGUCUGUCUCUUGCCUCUCCCUCUCUCAUCACCCUUGUUUCUACCUAUUCCUCUUUUACUAACUCUCCCCAUUGCCCUCCCUUUCUCCUCCCCUCCUCUCCCCUCCUCCUCCACCUUUCCUCCAGUAUCUCACCUCUUCCUCUAUAAUUGUGCAGUAUCUCGGGCCAAUGGGAGCGACACACUAUUGUUUCCAGUUUCCGCCUCCCAGACAUGGAUCCGAAGUGGAACCAGCUAUCAGAAUCCAUUCCUAGAACCACCUGACAUGCUGAUCUACAGGUCAUCCCUCGCACUCGUCAGAAGCGUUUGGGGAACAGGGCCUUCUCAGUAGCUGCACCGAGACUCUGGAAGAGUCUCCCUGAAAAUAUAACAACAGCAGAAUCGCUCUGCUCGUGUAAAAGGUGUCUCCGGACCCACCCUCUUGCCUCCCCCUGCAACGAUUCUUGACAUGAUUUGCAUUCUACAUUGAUACGAAUGUCUGUAUGUGUGUGUAUGUGUGCACUAUGUAUCUAUGCAUAUAUUUAAGCACCUGCUUUGGUUUUAAAGCGCCCUAUAA
Molecule: long non-coding RNA, 930 nt
Organism: Siniperca chuatsi (mandarin fish)
Lineage: Eukaryota; Metazoa; Chordata; Actinopteri; Centrarchiformes; Sinipercidae
Exons: 3
Source: RefSeq, a predicted model, not a curated record